Molecule: long non-coding RNA, 622 nt
Filed under: Sorghum bicolor (sorghum)
Lineage: Eukaryota; Viridiplantae; Streptophyta; Magnoliopsida; Poales; Poaceae
Description: long non-coding RNA (SBIC_LNC013237)
Source: RNAcentral
ACCACGAGGGAGGCUGCAGCCGUGCCAGACGACGUCGACGAAGAAGCUCACCAUUUGUUCGAUAAAAUGCUUCAAAGACAGUAAGGCAAAGCUGAGCAAGCAACCAAACAAACUCUUAUAGAAACCAGAGCAAGCAACCAAACAAACUCUUAUAGAAACCAGGCCAGCUGAGCAAACCAACCAAACAAACCCUGUUGACUUGCUGGGGACAAGUCUAGCCUAGCCUCGCUCCAAUUAAGCCAAGAAACCAAACAGACCCUGAGUGUUAUUAGUAGAUUUCUCUCUCUCUGCAUCUCGUGUGUCCUUAUCUUUGCAAAUAAUUCGAUAAAUGAAGGGGUUCAUCUGGAAAAUUCUUGGGUCCUUCCAUUCCAAAGAUUAUAAAGCUCUCCACCGUACGCCAAGAUGUUCAGUUUGGUCCUCAUAUGAGGUAGAUAAACAUGUUGCAACAACUAAAGAAGUCAUGUGUUGUAUCACCACGUGAAUGACGAUUGUCAUGCCAUGAAAAAAGCAGGAUAGAUUAGGGCUUUAAAUUCAGGUUCACAUGCAAAGCGCACAAAAUCCGAAUUAAUUAAUGAGCCUAAUACUACUCUCUAUAUAUGAAAAAUACUUUGUGCUCCUGUUC